UUGUACGUCGUUCGGCCAAUCCCGUUCAAGAUUAGCGGGGGCUCGGCUGCGGUUAUGGAACGUGAUUGGCCGGGCGGCGUAGAAUCUUCGCAUCUUCUAGAAUCUUCGCGGGAGACAUCGAACGCGGGAACAGACUGUUGUUGGCACGUGUUUGUGGCGCGGCAGCUGGCAGGCAGUUGGCGGUCUCGCGUGGUGUGGAUUGUAGAAUUGCUGGUGAUAUUCUGAACUGAUUGUGUGAAUUGUGGUGUGUGUCCAAUAAUCUUACUGGCAUGUGCUGACUGCUGCUCAUGGACAUCAGGAAGUUUUUCAAAAGAAAGGCUUGCCUUGAUGGCAGCGACGGACCUGCCAGUGCCUGCGCUCGGCGUUCAAGAAUUGACACAGGUGCAGUGGUCUCUCAAGGUAUGUAAAAAGGAACAUUUUGGAUCUGUUAGCUGUUAG
Long non-coding RNA from Amphibalanus amphitrite, 438 nucleotides. RefSeq lists it as uncharacterized. The transcript has 3 exons. The record is from RefSeq and is a predicted model, not a curated record. NCBI's taxonomy places the organism in Eukaryota, Metazoa, Arthropoda, Thecostraca, Balanomorpha, Balanidae.